AGGACGAACGCUGGCGGCGUGCUUAACACAUGCAAGUCGAGCGGAAAGGCCCUUCGGGGUACUCGAGCGGCGAACGGGUGAGUAACACGUGAGCAACCUGCCCUUAGCUCCGGGAUAGCUCCGGGAAACCGGAAUUAAUACCGGAUACAACCACGGCCGACAUCUGCUGUGGUGGAAAGGAUUCCGGCUAAGGAUGGGCUCGCGGCCUAUCAGCUAGUUGGUGGAGUAACGGCCCACCAAGGCGACGACGGGUAGCCGGCCUGAGAGGGCGACCGGCCACACUGGGACUGAGACACGGCCCAGACUCCUACGGGAGGCAGCAGUGGGAAUAUUGCGCAAUGGGCGAAAGCCUGACGCAGCGACGCCGCGUGGGGGAUGAAGGCCUUCGGGUUGUAAACCCUUCAGCAGGGACGAAGCGAAAGUGACGGUACCUGCAGAAGAAGCGCCGGCUAACUACGCGCCAGCAGCCGC
RNAcentral lists this ribosomal RNA (471 nucleotides) under uncultured bacterium. RNAcentral's name for it is "SSU rRNA". It matches the Rfam family "Bacterial small subunit ribosomal RNA", at positions 26 to 518 of the family's 1533-position model. The record is from RNAcentral.